RNAcentral lists this unclassified non-coding RNA (339 nucleotides) under soil metagenome. RNAcentral's name for it is "partial contains 5.8S ribosomal RNA, internal transcribed spacer 2, and large subunit ribosomal RNA". The stretch from base 1 to 120 matches the Rfam family "5.8S ribosomal RNA", at positions 35 to 154 of the family's 154-position model. The record is from RNAcentral.
GAUGAAGAACGCAGCGAAACGCGAUAAGUAAUGUGAAUUGCAGAAUUCAGUGAAUCAUCGAAUCUUUGAACGCAACUUGCGCCCUCUGGUAUUCCGGAGGGCAUGCCUGUUUGAGUGUCAUGUAGACUCAAUCCCUCGGGUUUCUGAGGAGGUUGGAUUUGGGUGCUUGCCUUCUGGCUCGCCUUAAAGGACUUAGCAGGAUAGCACUGUAGUCGACGUAAUAAGUCUCGUCGGUGAAAGUGUGAUGUCUGCUUACAGAUUGCCCUUGGGCACUUUUGACUCUGACCUCAAAUCAGGUAGGACUACCCGCUGAACUUAAGCAUAUCAAUAAGCGGAGGA